CCGCCGGCGGCGCGCUGGCGGCGCUGGGCGGCUGGCGCGCCGCCAGCGCGGGCCCGCGCGCGGCGCAGGCCGCGGCCGCGCCCGCCGA
This 88-nucleotide transfer RNA is filed under the name Achromobacter xylosoxidans. RNAcentral's name for it is "tRNA-???(ggcg)". The record is from RNAcentral. Lineage: Bacteria; Pseudomonadati; Pseudomonadota; Betaproteobacteria; Burkholderiales; Alcaligenaceae.